This is a non-coding RNA of Arachis ipaensis, 2486 nucleotides long. The record is from RefSeq and is a predicted model, not a curated record. Lineage: Eukaryota; Viridiplantae; Streptophyta; Magnoliopsida; Fabales; Fabaceae.
UGUUGGGUGCCGAUGAUGACUUAAUCAAUACGUAACUGAAAGGCGAUAGAGAAAACCGUUAUUAUGCGUGGCGCCAUCGCCAUUCUCCGAGUGAUUCCAUCUCUCAGCUUUCAAAUCCAGUUCUAUUGAUCGACGCUGGCAAUGGCACACUGGCUCAAAGCCGCUGAAGAUUUAUUUGAAGUUGUGGAUCGAAGAGCGAAAUCUGUUGUCACUGAUUUAUCAGAUGAACAAUCUAAUUUUAAUUCUCCAGCUUCUACUGGGCAAGGAUCACAUGGCAAGAGAAGGAAAUCAAAAUCCAAGGCUCAAAAGGGAAAAUCUAAAAACUCAUCUCCUACAAAUACUGAUACUACCAAAGAGAAAGGUAACACACCAGAAGCACCGGCUGAUCAUGCAGUAGAAAACGAUGGGAGUGCUUUCACUCCUACAAAUCAACCAAUCAAAGACAAUGUAGAGGCAUUUGAUACUGCUCCUGAAGCUACCACCACUGUUAUCGCUAAUGGGGAGCCCGGCAAAGAGAAUGCUCUAGACAUGCCUAAGGAGUAUCCUUCUCCGGAUACCAAAGGAAUUGAAGGCUCCACUGAAGACAAACCCACUAAUGCUGAACAAGUUAUCAAGAAUGAGAAUUUGGAUUCCGAUGUGAAUAUGGAUCAAGAGAGAACUAAAUCUGUGGCCAAUGACAAAAGUUCCAAUCGUGGUGGUGACACUAUAAUUCAAGAUGCUGAUAUCAAAGCUGAAUCUUUUGUCAAUAGAAGCACUCAAGAAAAUCAUAAAACUGACAUUUCUCCGAAGAAACUACAGGAUCAACUUGAUCAGGCUCAAGGACUACUCAAAGCAGCAAAAUCUACUGGUCAGUCCAAUGAGGCAAGGUUAGCUAGGGUUUGUGCUGGACUAUCAUCUAGUCUUCAGGAAUACAAAUCUGGAAAUGUAGAGUUAGAAAAACUGCUUAGUGCAGAGAGAGAACUGAAUAAAUCAUUUGAAGUUCACAUAGAACAGCUACAGAAGGAUUUGUCUCAAAAUAAAAGGGAAGUAGCAAAAGUUGAAUCAAACAUGGCUGAAGCCUUGGCUGCAAAAAAUUCUGAAAUUGAGGCACUUCUUAGUUCGAUUGAUGCAGUAAAGAAGCAGGCUGCAUUAUCAGAAGAAAAUAUAGCUUCCCUUCAGGCAAACAUGGAGUCUAUGAUGAAAAACCGAGAUCAAAUAGAGACAAGAAUGAUGCAGGCUCUAAGAGAGGAACUAGCAUUUGCUGAGCGAAGAGCAGAAGAAGAGCAUGCAGCACAUAAUGCUACCAAAAUGGCUUUUAUGGAAAAAGAAGUGAAAUUGGAGCAGAGAGCUAUUGAGGCAGCUACAGCUCUUGCAAGGAUACAGAGAAUAGCAGAUGAGAGGACCUUGAAGGCCACAGAAUUGGAGCAGAAGGUGGUACUUCUUGAGGUUGAGUGUGCAUUCCUAAAUCAAGAAUUGCAAGAUAUUGGAGAUCGCGUGCGCCGUGAACAAAAGAAGUCACCAGAAGAGGCAAAUCAAGUAAUUCAGGCAUGGCAGGAAGAAACAGAGCGAGCAUAUAGGAGUCAGAGAGAAGCUGAAAACAAGAUUUCUUCAAUAGAGGCUGAGCUGCAAAAGAUGAGAGUGGAAAUGGCAGCCAUGAAGAGGGAUGCUGAGCAUUACUCCCGUCAGGAGCAUGUGGAAUUGGAGAAACGCUAUCGCGAACUUACGGACCUUUUGUACUAUAAACAGACACAAUUAGAAGCCAUGAGCAGCGAAAAAGCUGCCGCUGAGUUUCAAUUGCAGAAAGAAUAUAAGCGUCUACAAGAAGCACAGGCUGAGACUGAAAAAAAUAGAAUUUCUCGUCGACCAUCUUCAUCUUGGGAAGAAGAUACUGAAAUGAAAACCCUCGAGCCACUUCCUUUGCAUAAUCGCCAUUUGGUUGGGGCAAGCAUUCAGUUGCAGAAAGCGGUGAAACUAUUAGAUUCAGGAGCCGUAAGGGCCACAAGAUUUCUCUGGCGUUAUCCAACGGCUCGAGUUGGUCUAUUUUUCUAUCUGGUGUUUGUACAUCUCUUCUUGAUGUAUCUCUUGCAUUGCCUUCAGGAGCAAGCUCACAAUUUGGAUGCUAGAGAGGUUGCAAAAUCUUUGGGACUCUCUGACCCGAAUUACCGUGACUAAUCUUAUGAUGGGAAAAAAAAUUCAAGGCCCUACAUCUGGUGUUAACAUUUCAAGAUUACCCUGCAAAUGCAUGUAAUCGUUACUGCUGCAUGCUCGAGUUUUCUCAAUGUGGGAUGGCAUCAUCUCUUGCUUUAUUUUUUCACCAAAAUCGUAAAAACAUGAUUUAGGUCAAAGUCUUGUCGCUGACUGGAUGACGUUAACAGUUAACUAUUGCAACGGGACAAUCUAUGCUUACUUCUGCUUCCGUGAUACUAUUCUUCCUUUCCUUCUAAUUUCCAAGACCAAAAUAGAUUGCUAAGGCGCUGUGAUGAAUGCUCUGUAUUAAUAUUUUAACA